RNAcentral lists this ribosomal RNA (439 nucleotides) under uncultured bacterium. Its description in RNAcentral is "bacterial SSU rRNA". It matches the Rfam family "Bacterial small subunit ribosomal RNA", at positions 958 to 1398 of the family's 1533-position model. The record is from RNAcentral.
AACGCGAAGAACCUUACCUGGGUUUGACAUCCACUGACCGCCAUAGAGAUAUGGUUUCCCCUUCGGGGGCAGUGAGACAGGUGCUGCAUGGCUGUCGUCAGCUCGUAUCGUGAGAUGUCGGGUUAAGUCCCUUAACGAGCGCAACCCUUGUCCCUAGUUGCCAUCAUUUAGUUGGGCACUCUAGGGAGACCGCCGGUGUUAAACCGGAGGAAGGUGGGGAUGACGUCAAGUCCUCAUGGCCUUUAUAUCCAGGGCUACACACGUGCUACAAUGGCGAGUACAAAGGGUUGCUAACCCGCAAGGGGGAGCUAAUCUCAGAAAGCUCGUCUCAGUUCGGAUUGAAGUCUGCAACUCGACUUCAUGAAGCUGGAAUCGCUAGUAAUCGCGGAUCAGAACGCCGCGGUGAAUACGUUCCCGGGCCUUGUACACACCGCUCGUC